Amphiprion ocellaris (clown anemonefish) is the source of this 10453-nucleotide long non-coding RNA. RefSeq lists it as uncharacterized. The record is from RefSeq and is a predicted model, not a curated record. Lineage: Eukaryota; Metazoa; Chordata; Actinopteri; Pomacentridae. The transcript is spliced from 2 exons.
CUUUUCUGCUCUCUUUUUUUUCACACCUCCAUCUUCUCCCACCCACCACUUUCACCUUCCUGAUUAACCUUCAUCUCACCCCACACUUCAACCUGCUCUACCCUCCCUCCCUCCCCUUCCUUUCUCCCUCCCUCCCCUUCCUUUCUCCCUCCCUCUCUCUCUCUCUCUCUCUCUCUCCCUCUUUCUCUCUGCACCAGCCGGUGAGUGAGCAGAUUUCAGAACGCAUCUGAGUGGAGGAGGACAAGUGGGGUGGGCCUCUCACCACCUCUCCUUUUCAUCUGUCCUUCCUCUUUCUUCUUUACCUGAGUGGGUCAAUCUGCCUCUAUUUCUUUCUCCAAUCCCCAUCCUAUUUUUGCCUUCUUUUUCUGUUGUUUUUCUAAUGCUUGACUCUGUUCUUUGUCUGUUGUCUUGGCGUCCUUUUCCUCUAUUUCUGUCUGACUUAUUCCCGUAGUUUGUGGUCCUGUUGUUUUUGUUGUCUGUCCGUCCAUCUGUCUGUCGGUGGGGAACAGCAUCCAUCUAAAGAGGAAAGAAGCAUUGCUGCAAAGAGUGGCCCUUUGUUGCUAGGCACCAGGCAUAUUGUACAAGAAUGCAUCCCUGCUGUACUGGUUGUUGGUGAUUUUAAAUACAUCAAAGGUAAGAGAUCUGUGAAGGUAAUAGAGCUGAAACAUCCUAUAGUAGACAUAAUCUUUAAUUCAUCAUCAAUUAUAAUAGUACAAUACACUAGUUUGUCUCUAGUACUUCUGACUCAUCAGCACAGUGUGUGGAGUGUGUUUUUGUGUGCUUGUGGAAAUUAUAUAUUUCCUUGACUUGGGUAAAUUGGCUCUUUAAGUAUUCAAGAUUCAAGACCCUUCAUUUGCCACAUGUAACAUGCAGCAUAGUGUCCAGUCUACAGGUGUUUAGAGCAAAAAAGACAUACAAUAUAUAGACAUACAUUAUCUACAAUUAUGCACCGAUCAGCCACAACAUUAUGACCAAUGACAGGUGAAGUGAAUAACAUCGAUCAUCUUGUUAUAAUGCAAUGUUCUGCUGGGAAACCUUGAGUCCUGGCAUUCAUAUGGGUGUUUGACAUGUACCACCCACCUAAACAUUGCAGGUCAAGCAACCCCUAACUCCCCAUGGCAACAGUAGUCCUUGAUGCCAUUUGUCCCCCUUAGCAGGACAAUGCACCCCAACAACACACAGCAAAAACUGCUCAGGAGUGGCCCAGGGAACACGACAAAGGUAAGGUGUUCACCCAGGUAACACACUCCCCAGAUCCAAACCUUAUUGAGCAUCUGUGGGAUGUGCCAGGAUGAGCCUGAUCUAGAUAGGUCCCACCCUGCAACCUACAGAACCCACAGAAUUCACUGCCAUCAUCCCGAUGUCAUUUCAUAAAAUUUGGUGAACAAAGGUGACCAAUAUGUAUGUCUAUCUGUGUAUUCAGUUGUCAAUGAUAAAUGUCUUAUGUGAGCUUUAAUCAAUAGAAGCAAGGCAUGAACAAUAUUUGUUGCUCCUGUUAACAGUCUACCCGGACAUGCAGGGCUAUACAGAUAACAGAAGUUAACCCAGUAUUAACAUCGAACACUAUUCCCUGCCAUUGUGCAUUCCUAAAACGUAACAACCUGUCCUUUGAAGACAAGUAUCACAAAACUUGCCCUGCAAUUUGUUGGCUGUUAAACAUGGAAAUGUUUGACUUUACAAGCUCAGAGAGAAGCAUCCAGGUUUACUAUUAAUUCUGAACUGCACUGUUUAAUUUGUGGAGGCUGGGCAGGUCCAGCGUGGGCUUCAUCUCCACUGAAGGACCCACCUUGGACCACAAGAUUCAGCUAACCCAGCAUCUGAGUUAGUACUCAGUAAGUGUAUUGUAUGAGGUAAUCAAUGAUACACUGUGUUUGUAGUGUUUGAAGUGCACCUCUCAGUAAAGGCACCUUGAAUGAAAGAGACAUCUCUAAUCCUUCACAGCUUCACAACAGGAAACAAAUGUGUAAUCUUACACACUGACAGCAUUGACAGAUCACCACUUGUGUUCUGUAGUAUUAUUUUCAAAGAAGGACAAAGAAAAUGUUGAAUUAAGAUACAAGUAAGUUAUUAAAGUUUUGGUCAGAGGAACUGUACAUGGUCAAGAUCUGUUGGUUGCGCUGAAGGGUUUUCAAUUCAAUGAUACCUAACUAAAGGGUAGACAGGUGAUGAGAUUGGUCACUCAGAUAUUGGGAUAUUACCAACAUAAAUGUCACUGCUGACAUAGAACCUUCCUGUGUGCAGCUGGAGGAUUUGAGAAGGACAGAGAAAGAAGAGCCAGGCAAGGAUAGUUAGCUGUUGAACAGAUCAGAAGUAAAAGCACAAUUUGUCAUUCUCAUACUAUGUAUGUAGUUUUGUUUAGUUUGUAUCUUGGAUACUGCAGAAGUAAAAUGAGCUUUUAUCAGAUUUAUGUUGGUCCUAAUCUUUCACAGGUUUGACAUGGUGGUUAGAAUACAUAUUUUCUUAAGUAAAAUUUAACAAAAGGACAUGAUUUUGCCAGAGGUAUUACACACACAUUAAAAAAAAACCUUAAUUGGUAAUGUAUUUCUCUGUGUCUCCAGCAGAGGGUGCUGUGACUUCACAGUUCACACAGCCUGGCUUUGGAAUAAAACUGUCACCAUUUCAGCAUUAUUAAUUUGACUUCUUUCCGAGCAAGCUUACUCUACAAAUUUUUCUUGAGCUUAUUAAGCACCAGUAUCAGCAUUCAAGCCAAAGAUAAAAUGUUCCUAAAAAACUGGGCGAAAAAGAGAGUUUUUACUGAGUGAGUUAGUUAAUGGUGGAAUUAAAUUUGGUCUAGGGUUGUUUUCCCUGAUGAAUGUACUUUUCAUUUCCCUUCAUAGCAGAUUAGACUUGAAGACAAGCACAGCUAGAUUGGCUUCCUGACUUUUAUGCUAUUUUAGCUGACAGACGGUUUGUCAGAAUUUUAGUGUUAAUGUACCUUUUGUUAAAUGAGAAAGAGGGAAAAUGAUAAUUUUUCUCUUAACAUGGUACUCAUGAUUAUUUUAUUAAAUUCAUUCAUAGUGUAGUUUCUCAGGAGAAAGCAUAGUCAGGUCAACAUCUACCAACAUUCAUCAAUAUUUCUGCACAUUUUUGGGCCCUUAAAUGUGCACAUAAAGAAGCACCCAGAAUGGCAACAGAACAGGAGCUCUGAUCAUAUGCUGAUGGUCCUUCCAGGUGAGCUCAGAAGUCCACAGGUGUGCAAAUGGGAUACAAGCUCCACCGAGUUUGAUAGAUUGUUUGAUUGACGGCUCUGUUCCCCUGCCUUCUUCCCUCAUCUCGUCUUCCACACACGUCCAACUUGUCCCUCGCUUCUGACACCCCAGACUCUUUGAUCACUCUGCAUGUUUGUACUGCACUGCAGAGAACUACUGAAGACUACAGCGAGAGGAGGAGAGCAAGAGAAGGAAAGGGGAGGAUAGAGAGAAAACAUUCCAUGUCUUUGUUUUUCUCUCUGUGGCAUCUUGCCUUGUGGGAGCGAGGCUCUUUGAGGGGAAUUUGAGAGCUUAACACUGGUGUGUGUGAUUGAAUUUGCGAGCGUGUGUUUGUGUGCACGUGCGGGAACCUGGGAGACUGUGACAGUCUCUCUCUUGUUGACUUCUAAAAGUCCUCCAGUGGCCUGAGACAUGACGCCGUACCACGUCCUCAAAUAACCAAAAAAGAUGUGAGGACAAAAGCACAGAGAACAAAGAAGGAGAGAAAGAGAAACAGAAGAAGUGAGAAAAAAAUACCCAGAAAACCAAAAGGCAUUUGAGAAGAAAAAAAAUUAAAAACGUACAAGAAAGAAUUCAUUAGAGCUAGAACACGAGUGAGACCCAGUGCAAGACACAAAAAUAAAGACAAAUGAGAACAGAGGUAAAGGGGAUAAGACGGAGGUAGAAAAAUGAUGAAAGCAAAGAUGUUCAAUGGGAUAACAAGGAGACGUGUCAUUCAUCUGUCAAGGUGACAAGAAGUACAGCUGCCAGUUUCCUUCACUGAACAUGCCGUUGCUGAUUUAUUGACUUUGUGUCUUUCCGAGUUCAAACUGCGGUUAACUGCUGAGUUUAGAGUGGCAAUGGGCGAGGCUGCAGAGGCCUUUAAGGUGGAUCAAAACAUCACAACAAAUUCUUAACAUGCUCAUCUUGCAGUGACAAACUAACAGCUUGCUCACCACUAUGACAAAAAAUAAAAUCAAUCGAAAAAUAUAAGAAAAAAUGACAUGACACAAUACAUUUAUGCAAUAUAACCAGCUCUGUGCAGCAUGUUCACCAACACACACAGCACUGAUGAUCUGUUCAGCCAAAUGGGAAGCUAGAAGAGACAGAAAUAGAGAGAGGGGAAGCAUUUUGACUUAUGCUAAUAUGGGGGAAGAUCAUCCUGUCCUUCACAAGAGAGCAGCUGUGAAUUAUCAUGUCAUGAUUUCCAAGAUGUUCUCCCUCCAUCCUUGACGGCUUAGAAGACUAAAGGACAACAGCAACAGCACCAACAUCAGUGUUGGGAAUCUAGCAAACUGUCUUGGUUUUUCUACUUGAAUGCUGUUGAAAUUUGAAGAUUAAGUUAAAGAGUUGUAAUUUAGACUGCACUGACAUUACUGCCUACAUUUAGCCACAGAUGGUUUAUACCGAUGAGCCCAAACAUUAUGACCACCCCUGACCACCAAAACAGUUCUGAACUAUUGUCACAUAGACUCUCGGAUAGUUGGUCAGUAAACACCAUUGCAAACUGGGAGCACUCGACAAGGCUUAGCAUUUCAGUGCAGCGCCAACCCUGUCAUCUGGCCAUACCAGUCUCUCCUGCAUCCAUGAUGUUGACUAAGAGGACUGAUUUUUACUGCAAUUAUUGUAAGAUGAUAAGUGCUCAGAUCAGAUUGCUUCUGCCUUGCAUUUCCUGCUCUAAAAUCGGCAUAAAUAUGGGUUUUGCCUAUUAGCUGUAAGCAGUUUAGUAACUGCCAAAAAAGUUCUGAUACAAAUAUCCCACUGAGCCUCAAAGCUCUUUAGCAGUGUUUUCGGUCUCUCUUUUGUCAUGUUAGUCUUUGCAGUGAAAGCAUAUGACUCUCUCCCGGAUGCACACUAUAUAGCAGCAUAACUUUGAAGUGUCUUUAAUUAUCUUUACAUGAAGUUAAGGUGAUGCAUAAAAAGUGGGUUGGCUAGGGCUUCUGAUAAGCCCAGUGAGAGCAUUUUCCAUAGCAAGGCUAAAACAGUCUGCUUAGAUUUACAUAUUGAAUUAAUGGCAAAUCAGUGAAAAUAAUUAUGUUACAGGAAAACAUACAUAAAUAUCCAAAGCCGGUGUGGAAACAAAGCUCAGGGAUCUUUACAGCUCCCCACACCCUGCAUAUUAUGAAGCCAUUCGAAUACUCAAUUAAGCCAAACAUGACAGAGCAAGAAUCUAAAAUUUCAUGCAAAACCCCAGUAGCUACUUUCAUUCUUUCCGUUUCCAAGCUCAUUGUCACUUCUUGUCAUCUCAUGCAUAUCUCAUAAUUUUAUAACUUCCCUUAUGGUUGUAUUUCUUUCCCUAAUUAACCAUGUCUCUUCUCUUCUCUUCUCUUCUCUUCUCUUCUCUUCUCUUCUCUUCUCUUCUCUUCUCUUCUCUUCUCUUCUCUUCUCUUCUCUUCUCUUCUCUUCUCUUCUCUUCUCUUCUCUUCUCUUCUCUUCUCUGAUGAUGACUCGAGCAGAGGGAUAGAGGCUGUAAUCAAAUAUGAAGCUCACCCUGUGCUCCAUUCUUUUAAAUCUGGCCCCAAAGAAGAGGGAUCUAAUUACUUCUUUGCCAUGCAGAGAGCGAGGGUAAAACCAGGACUACCCAGCUUUGUCGGUUUAGCAGAGAAACUGUACAAUCUCACAUUUCUUCACUUCUAAACAGUGCAAAGGAAAGCUUAAUCUUAUUACUAGUGGGAUUCCAAGUAAGCCCAAUUUACUGUAUUGUAAAACAUCAAGGUAAUCUAAUGGCUCUUUAAAGGAUACAAGACAGAUUACCCAAUAAAAGCUCCAGCAUCCAGAUAAUGAGGACUGCCUAAAAAAGACAUAAAGCUGUAGAGCCGUUAUUGCUAACUAAGAUGCAUGCAGGACACAAAGAAAACCCUGCACUGCCUGAUUUGUCCAUGUACUGUAUGCGUAGUAUCUACACAAUGACAGGGGAAAAAAACAGACACAUACACAUACAGUCACAUACAAAUGGAUACACAAAAUGCCCACAGUCUUUGCAGAGAGAUUAGCAAAUGAACCAAACUCCCUCUUCGAAAAACUCUGCAUCUAUCAAAGAGGUCUCAGCAGGAGUUGGCCGGCGCUCGUCUCUUCAUCUCUUUCUUUGCCUGCGUUGUCCUUCUUUACUCUUCUUCAGGGAUUUUCCUCAACAAAAUUCAAAGUGAAAGGAUUUUAGAGGCUAACAUUCACAGCUUUGUUUGGAGAUUAGUCAUGUAGAAUAAAGACGAUAAGUGUGUGUGUGUGUGUGUGUGUGUGUGUGUGUGUGUGUGUGUGUGUGAACAAGUACUGUGGCCCUUUGUUGACAGCUGAUGCAUAGUUAAUGUGAUAAUGACAAGCAGAGAUGCAAUUUGUUUCCUAGGGAGCUGCGUCAUUCAGCCAUUGUGGGGGGUUAAAAGGUCCAUGGCGAAGCAGCAUCAUCAAACUGUACAUCAGCAUUUUAUAUUUACUGCCAAUCACAUCGACUUUGCCGCAGAUUAUGUCACCUAUCUCUGCUGUGACUGUCAGUCUACACAUUUACUCCUCCAUUUCGACCUGUCUGUCGCUCAAGCUGUUAUUAACUGUUCAAGACUGGAUUUCCCUAAAGGACGACUCCUCCCGACAUCUAUGACUAGAGUACCAAAAACUCACUGCCUGUAGGUUUCAAAGACUGAAAGAUACCAUUUUGUGGUAGCUUGGAUUCACAAUGAAUUCAAAUGGUGAUUAAAAAAACAAAACAAAACAAUCUUCUGCAGCAUAAACAGCUUCUUUGUUAUGUUCAAAACAAUCACCACUGCUCAAACAAAUGAUCAAAUAUGCUACUUUUUGUUGACCUUUGAAUCAUAUUAGUGUGUGCAGAGUGGUGCAUUUGGCGGAAUCUGUGGUUCUUAACCUUGGGUUUAUGACUAUUUGGGGGGUUGCAAAAUUGUUUUCACCCAAAACUUUGAGUUGUAUAACAAUGGCAGUGUCCUAUGAAUGUCAACUAUUUUAUUGGGUCAUCCAAGUGUUUCCUUGGAAGAUGAGGGAGACCCAUAUUAUCUCUCUCUAUCAUAUCACUUAGCAUAAGUAAAUGCCGGUGUGGUUCGAAUGACAGAACGCCAUCGUCUAUGGUCAACAGCAGCUCUAGUAGCCUCCGCAAUUCCAGUUCCUGCGAUCUCUUUGCUGUCGUCAAGCCAACUCUCUGCAGGUCUACCUUUCUUUCUCUUUCCGUUAAGCAUCCUUUGAAUGAUUGUUUUCUCAGGCAGUGAUGUCUGGUAGCAUGACCAAAGUAGCUGAGUUUCCUUACGAUGUUAUUAGAUUUUACAUAUUAUACUAUAUUACAGAAAAAAAAUAUUGUGGAUAGUGGAACUGUACUAACAGAGCAGACAGUGCACUUUGCACUACAGACUCUCAGUAAAUGAAUGUGACUGCAGCCCUGGAAUCGGAAACAUCUGUAGAAAGAUGUUCUUUCUGGUGUAAGCUUUCUUUUGCUGAAGUUCUCUCAUUACUUCAUGCCCCUGACUUGAAAGCAGAAGUAGAAGCUUUUAUCAUCUGGGUUGUCAUGGCUUUUGGUUGACUUUGGUUGGAUAACUUAACUAACGACGAAUGAAGUAUCAUGAAUUUUGAAAGAUGUGCGUGCUUUGCUCCACACAGACCAGGUGUGUAUUGAUGAAAGCACGUUUAUAGGUGCUGAAAGAUGUAGUCGCAACCACACGUACAAACACGUACUCCAUGGGUCAGACAGUAAUUAAAAAGUGUUCUGUUCUUGGAGUCACAAGGUUGUAGCUGCCUGCAGUCCUGAGGACUGCAUAAUGAGAGGCAAAGAGCAGCAGUCUAAUCUCCACUUACCUUCUGUAGUUUAACGCUCUGUCAGACACUUUUCAUUCUCCUUCUGAAUUUCUCUUGUUUCACAGUCAAAUUGUCAUUUUCUACUUUUUUCUCAGUUAACUAAAUGAAAAGAAUUGAAUAAAAUGAUUUAUUAAUAUAAUUUUAUGAAUAUAAUUUAUUAAUAUAUUUUGAAAAAUGUUGCACUCCCAUAUUUUCAGGUAUCAUUUGCGUUGUGUCAACAGUAGUGUAGUAUUAAUGAGAUCAAUAACACUCAAGAUGAGAGACCACAAAAAGAGCAGACCACAAAGCUAUUCCAAAACAAAAAUAACAGUUUGCAUGGAAACACAAAGUGAGCUCUGAGAGACUGGUCUGUCUGAAGUUAGAGUACACAGACAGAAAAUUCAUUCAGCUUUUGCUUUAAAGACGACAGAUUGUGUUUUCCACCCCUAAUGGUGGAGAAAUGAUCAACUAUAUAGAGCAGAAUUUUAAUUUUGUGACCAAAUGUCCACACUGUAGGAAUGCAUAGCUGGAGGGGAUCAGGAAUCUUUUGUACUGAUGCAUAGUGCUUUGUUUUACCCACAUUUUACCUUGCAUAAUGCUUGUCUCUAUUGUACGUAUACAUAAACUUUAUUUUUAUAAACUUUUAAAAAUGUUUUCCUAUCUGUAUUAAGAGGCUUUCAUAUAUUGUUUCCUGGAUUUGUAAGUUUUACUGCUACUGAUACUGACUUUUUGACACACCGCAGUAGGAAAAGCAGAUAUUACCAAUGACAACAAUUUCUCUUGUGUCCAAUCAGGACCCUUUAUACUGAAACCUUUUCAUGAAUGACACCUGUGCUUUUUCUGUUGCAACACAUAAAAACAACUUUUACACCUAAUUUCGUCAUAAUGUGUUUUUUUUUUUUUUAUGCAUGAUUAGGUAUACUGUGGUUCAAAAGUCUGAACCUGCUCGUGAAGAUGCAUUGAUUUUGCGUUUGCAUCAAAUAUAAUCAAAUUUAUUGACUAAAAAGGACAACACCAGUUUACCAGUCUCUAAUCAACAUCAACCUAAAUUUCAGAAUACCUUGGAUCUGCCCUCUAUUUGUCUAAUGACAGCAGCAGUCAUGUUGGCAUGGACUCCACCAAUUUGUACAAAACCCGAUGACCCAUGUUAUCCCUGCAUGACCUGACUAUAGUCCCAACAGCUUAUUUUCAUGGCAGGAAUGUUCAGUAAAUGCUCAGUGGGGUUGAGGUCAGGUGACUAUGGAGGAAGGUCCAUGACAGUCAGCUCUUCUUUUUUGGUCCUCCACUAGUUCUUGCAAGGCUUUGAGUUGUGUUUGAGCUCAUUAUCCUGCUGCGGAUUGAAUCCUUCUGUACAUACAGUGUAGCAUGUGCCUGAAGAAUGGAGUGCUACCUCUCCUUGCUCAGUUCAGUGCAGGUGUCCAACUCCAGAGCAGACAGAACCCCCAAACUACCAACCACUAACCUCCUUUUGACAGUACUUUUGCUGAUUGGAAUCACAUGUUUAGCAAAUUAAUUGAGCCAAGCUUGACUUAUAUGUCCUCUGAUUGUGUGGUAUUUUUUUUGUUUUCCUGAUUGUGCCUUGAGUACAACUGAUCCAGGUUCAUUUUCGUGCAUUUUAGAAAACCAUGCACUUCCCCCUUAGAAACCUUUAGUCUCGCUAUGAUUUGAUGGUGAGAAAGCCCCUAUUUGCUUGGAGUAACAAUUUGAAUUCGAGACUUUCACUUACUAACACAAUCCUACUCAGUAGUUCUGCUGGGACCUUGAGCCACAGCUGCAUUUAUGACAACAAUAGCUGAGAGUUGAUUUACUUUGAACGAACCUCUGGGGAUGCAUCACAUCCACCAGAGUGUCAUAAGAAUGCAGCUUCAAUAGUCCUUUUCACAGCAGACAAUUUGACUUGUGACAGUAGGGAGAGCGCAGAUGUAUUAAUGAAGGGUGCAUUGCGCUCAGGGGAGGCCCCGUUUUGGACGUGCUGGUUCACUGUUGUGGCUUGCUGGCACACAUUUUGGAACCAGCCAUCAUGUAUUCCACCUGUUAUUUCCCCACUGUGACAAGUUGAAAUGCCUGCAGUGAAAAAAAAGCUCAAUGGAAGGAAACCAACUCAGAAUGUGACCUUUUACACAAAUGAGUAAACAUUGUCAGCGACACAAAUUUGAUCCUGAAGGUACAAAAUGUGAGAUUUUAAGCAUGAAUAUAGCAUCAAUGUAGCGACAAACACCUGCAAUGUAAUGAAUAAACUAGCAUACGUGUCCUUAGCAGAUAAUAAAGUCACAUUCAGGGCGCCCGUAUAGCUCAACGCGUUGAGCGGGCGACCCAUGUACAGGGCUGGUUCCCGACGCAGCUGGCCCGGGUUCGAUUCCCGCUCGCGGCCCUUUGCUGCAUGUCUUCCCCUGACUCUUCUCCCCUGUUUCCUGUCUCUCUCUCACUGUGCCUAUCCAAUAAAAAAAGCUGACAAAAAGGCCAAAAAAAUAACUUUAAAAAAAAAAAAAAGUCACAUUCUU